RNAcentral lists this ribosomal RNA (498 nucleotides) under Podarcis melisellensis. RNAcentral describes it as "partial 16S ribosomal RNA". It matches the Rfam family "Bacterial large subunit ribosomal RNA", at positions 1851 to 2598 of the family's 2925-position model. The record is from RNAcentral. Lineage: Eukaryota; Metazoa; Chordata; Lepidosauria; Squamata; Lacertidae.
GGUCCCGCCUGCCCAGUGACUCUUUAAACGGCCGCGGUAUCCUAACCGUGCAAAGGUAGCAUAAUCACUUGUCCCCUAAAUAGGGACUAGAAUGAACGGCUAAAUGAGGACAAAACUGUCUCUUACGGACUGGCCAAUGAAAUUGAUCCUCCAGUACAAAAGCUGGAAUAAACCCAUAAGACGAGAAGACCCUGUGGAGCUUCAAAACCAAAACCACUAAACAUGCUUCUUAGGUUUUUAGUUGGGGCGACUUUGGAGCAAAAAAAACCCUCCAAAACAUGAACUUAAUUAUUAAGAUUAACACACCAAAAAUAAUUUUACUAGACCCAGCAAUGCUUAUAUUGUCUGACCAAUGAACCAAGUUACCCCAGGGAUAACAGCGCCAUCCUCUUCUAGAGUCCCUAUCGACAAGAGGGUUUACGACCUCGAUGUUGGAUCAGGACACCCCUAUAGUGCAGCCGCUAUAAAAGGUUCGUUUGUUCAACGAUUAAAGUCCUA